ACCUCAGGUUUUGAUUUCUAUCAUCCAGAAAAUAGUUUUCCAAUUCCUCGAGAGAAACUCCUCAUUCACUGCGACACAUGCAUGUCAGUUCGAGUGAGACAUGAAAAGGGGAACCCGACGAAGUAGAAAGGGAUGAAAACUUACUUGCUUUUCAUACGCCAAUGUCGCAUAUAGCACAGCUUCAAAAACUGACAGCAUCACAGCGUCUUUCGAUCGUGACUCUUCUUCUCCUUUCUUCCUCUAACCUUUGGCUUUCGGGAUGCUUCUCUU
This 270-nucleotide long non-coding RNA is filed under the name Carica papaya (papaya). RNAcentral describes it as "long non-coding RNA (CPAP_LNC007900)". The record is from RNAcentral. Lineage: Eukaryota; Viridiplantae; Streptophyta; Magnoliopsida; Brassicales; Caricaceae.